RNAcentral lists this ribosomal RNA (514 nucleotides) under uncultured Actinomycetes bacterium. RNAcentral describes it as "bacterial SSU rRNA". It matches the Rfam family "Bacterial small subunit ribosomal RNA", at positions 372 to 896 of the family's 1533-position model. The record is from RNAcentral. Lineage: Bacteria; Bacillati; Actinomycetota; Actinomycetes.
UGGGCGCAAGCCUGAUGCAGCAACGCCGCGUGCGGGAUGACGGCCUUCGGGUGUAAACCGCUUUCAGUUCCGACGAAGCGCAAGUGACGGUAGGAACAGAAGAAGGACCGGCCAACUACGUGCCAGCAGCCGCGGUGAUACGUAGGGUCCGAGCGUUGUCCGGAAUUAUUGGGCGUAAAGGGCUUGUAGGCGGUUUGUUGCGUCGGAAGUGAAAACUCAGGGCUUAACCCUGAGCCUGCUUCCGAUACGGGCAAACUAGAGGAGUGCAGGGGGAGAAUGGAAUUCCUGGUGGAGCGGUGGAAUGCGCAGAUAUCAGGAGGAACACCGGUGGCGAAGGCGGUUCUCUGGGCAUUUCCUGACGCUGAGAAGCGAAAGCGUGGGGAGCAAACAGGCUUAGAUACCCUGGUAGUCCACGCCGUAAACGGUGGGCACUAGGUGUGGGGAACAUUCCACGUUCUCCGUGCCGAAGCUAACGCAUUAAGUGCCCCGCCUGGGGAGUACGGCCGCAAGGCUA